GAGCGCACCCCUCCCUUUGAGGUGCGCUCAUUUAGUUGGGCACUCUAAAGGGACUGCCAGUGAUAAGCUGGAGGAAGGUGGGGAUGACGUCAAGUCCUCAUGGCCCUUACGGGCGGGGCUACACACGUGCUACAAUGGUGGUGACAAGUGGGCAGCAAGCACGCGAGUUAGAGCAACUCUCCAAAAGCCAUCUCAGUCCGGAUUGCACUCUGCACCUCGAGUGCUUGAAGUUGGAAUCGCUUAGUAAUCGCGGAUCAACAUGCCCGCGGUAAUACUUUCCCGGGGUCUGGUCCAACCGAAA
RNAcentral lists this ribosomal RNA (301 nucleotides) under Ochrobactrum sp. JC9. RNAcentral describes it as "bacterial SSU rRNA". It matches the Rfam family "Bacterial small subunit ribosomal RNA", at positions 1094 to 1383 of the family's 1533-position model. Lineage: Bacteria; Pseudomonadati; Pseudomonadota; Alphaproteobacteria; Hyphomicrobiales; Brucellaceae. The record is from RNAcentral.